This 468-nucleotide ribosomal RNA is filed under the name uncultured bacterium. RNAcentral's name for it is "partial 16S ribosomal RNA". It matches the Rfam family "Bacterial small subunit ribosomal RNA", at positions 28 to 507 of the family's 1533-position model. The record is from RNAcentral.
GACGAACGCUGGCGGCGUGCUUAACACAUGCAAGUCGAACGGUGAUGCUCCAGCUUGCUGGAGUGGAUCAGUGGCGAACGGGUGAGUAACACGUGAGCAACCUGCCCCAGACUCUGGAAUAAGCGCUGGAAACGGCGUCUAAUACUGGAUACGAAACUGGCCCGCAUGGGCAUGGUUUGGAAAGUUUUUCGGUUUGGGAUGGGCUCGCGGCCUAUCAGCUUGGUGGUGAGGUAAUGGCUCAACAAGGCGACGACGGGUAGCCGGCCUGAGGGGGCGACCGGCCACACUGGGACUGAGACACGGCCCAGACUCCUACGGGAGGCAGCAGUGGGGAAUAUUGCACAAUGGGCGAAAGCCUGAUGCAGCGACGCCGCGUGAGGGAUGACGGCCUUCGGGUUGUAAACCUCUUUCAGCAGGGAAGAAGCGAAAGUGACGGUACCUGCAGAAGAAGCACCGGCUAACUACGUG